GCCCAGGUAGCUCAGUCGGCAGAGCGCGUGCCUUUUAAGCCCGUGGCCGCGGGUUCGAGCCCCGCCCGAGGUG
This 73-nucleotide transfer RNA is filed under the name Perkinsus olseni. RNAcentral's name for it is "tRNA-Lys". It matches the Rfam family "tRNA". From Rfam's summary of the family: Transfer RNA (tRNA) molecules are approximately 80 nucleotides in length. Their secondary structure includes four short double-helical elements and three loops (D, anti-codon, and T loops). The record is from RNAcentral. Lineage: Eukaryota; Perkinsozoa; Perkinsida; Perkinsidae.